CAUCUCGCGAUUCCUUAGCAUCAUACUCUCUGUUGACACCCAUAUUUGAGAUUCACUAGCACUGGCUGGAUUAUGACUGUUGCUACUGUUGGUAUCCCAAAUCUGACUGAGUGAUUUGAUCACCUUGGUUUCGUUGUGAUUGUUUCCUCGAGCCUCUUCUGUUUCAGCUUGCUCUUUAGUAGCCGCCCAGCUUUCUGAGUUGACAAGAAGAACUUUUGCUCCUUCGUUGCCAACUCUUUGAAGCUCGUGACGGAAAGCCUGUCGUUUCUCUGGAGCUGCCUGCCAAAUUACAUAGCUCAUUACAUCACCAAGUAAGCGAAAUACAAUGUUUUUAUAGCAUGCAAAGAAAUUAAGAAAAACAAUUUAAUCUUCCACAUUAAAGGGUGCGUAAAUAAACCCAGAAGGGGCAAACCAAACCAAAAUCAGUAACCCUAAUUCCUAAACUCAUCAACAAAAUUUGUUUACAGUUUUUAAA
Molecule: long non-coding RNA, 475 nt
Organism: Brassica napus (rape)
Lineage: Eukaryota; Viridiplantae; Streptophyta; Magnoliopsida; Brassicales; Brassicaceae
Exons: 2
Source: RefSeq, a predicted model, not a curated record